CGUUCUCCCCAGACGAGACGAAGGUAACGCUGGCGCCGUCCUCGUUACAACGACUACCGCUGCCCAUGCACUACCACCGAUCACACCACCUGCUGGGCUGGUUUGGUUACUACGUUCCGAAGAGGACGACGACGUACAGAAGUAGUUGAAUCAAGAAGGUGUCCCUCUCUAUUUAAGAAGUGAACAAGUGUCACAUUAGACGUCUAAUGAAGGUAAUUAGUGGAUCACGAGGACAAUCACUCUAAGUAGAUCAUAAAGAAAAACGUUUCGUACGUUACCAGACCUCAUGAACUAGUACCGGGCUACCUCGUACAGCGAUGUCGUCGAUCUUCGUUAGGUAAAAUAAUUUACGUAAGACCAAUCCUAAACCAGUACCGUCGUGGAACGAUAAAAGAAAAGAAAUUUAUACCAACGUUCAAAUGAUAAAAAGGUCUUGGUAGUAGAAUGUAAAACCCGUAGCCCGUAACUUUAAAUCCGUAAAUACAUAUCAAAAUCAAGACCUACACAGGAUACGUUUGUAAUGAUAGUUAAUAGUUCAACUAAGAUUUUACAGAGUAAUUGAUUUAAAAUCUACCACUAAAGAUCUAAAUCAUGGUUAAAUAACAACCGGACCGGAUACGAGUCAUGGAACGAGAUAUGGUUAAAUAACGUAAUAAGACAAUAAAUGCCAAUUUAUACGAUAGUAAUUGAGACUCUUUUACAAUACAAAAACGACUAAUCACCGUCAUGUAGAAACGAAAUGAUAAGGAUCGUCAGUCACCGCCUCGGUUCCCCCCCGCUCGUCCCCGGACGGGGGGGGGAUUGCUAGCUGUUAAAUAAGUCUCCGAUGCUCAUUAAUCGAUGACUUGACUCUUUAUAUGCAUGAUACCGGGGGGGAGUUGGGUUUGCUUCCGAUACUUCUUUAGACCCUUUUUCCGGGUAUUUUUUCGGGUGAGCACCGGUAUCUGAGAUCAUGAACCGGGGACCGCAAUUCGGUUGGGGGGUCGCACUAAUUGGACUUCGCUAAUCGAAACGGCCGCCGGCGACGGAGCAUGGGAGUGAUGAGUGCCUCAGUUAAUUUUAGUCCGCUGUGUCCGAAGACUUGACCGUUUAGUAUGCCUAUGGAGAGUUGAGACACUUAAGAGAUCGACAAGUCCGUGUUCCAAUCGUGAUAACUCUUGAUGACAUAGAUGAUUAGGGAGAGUUGAGAUUAGAAUAUGUACAACUUCAACAGUAAACUACGAUUAUUUAAAAUAAAAUAAAAGUAACAAACUAAACACUACGCCAGUACUUCUCUUUUCCCGACGUUUGUGGUAUUUCUAAUUAAGAGAAAAUUUCAUACAACAAAGCUCAAGAGGUGGAUCAUUACAACAAUUACACCGAUUACACGUUAAAAAUGGUUAGGGUCAAGUCACCGUUACUGAACGAACCGAUUAGAUAUAACUAUCCUUUAACGAUCGUUGAUCCAAUUGAUGAGUACUUUAGUAGUUAUAAAAACUAGAAUAACUGUUGACAUCCCCGUUUAUAUUUGGUUAUGUUUACAUUUAUAUAAAAUUAGUCAAAACGAUUUCAUGUAGAUCUACACAGGAUUCAUAAUUUUAGAUCCAGAAUACUGUAACUAAUAAAAAAUACGUUUCUAAUCACGCUUAUAAAGGAAAAAGGAAAAACACGUUAUUGAUUCGGUAUAUAACUAUACGGUAUCUGUCUGGGAUAAAAUCAACACAACUUCGUUGUGUUAUUAUAUCAUAAUACCAUGAAUAAAAAGACGUCACUCGUAAAAAGAAAUUACUUGUACUGAACCGGGGGGGAUAUAGGUUUAGGACCGAGGCGGGGACGAUCGUCGAUGUCAAGUAGAUGGUAUUUGUACAACACAUGUAAGACUUGGGGGUUUGUACUGUGUUCACUAUACAUAUACGUCGUCCCUUAGCAGGUGAACAUGUUAAACAAAUAACCUUACAUUGAACAUGUUAAAAAUGAACUUAUACAAGUCAAUACUUCAGCACAUCAACAAAAAAGAGUAGUCAAGAUUUGACGUCAUGAAAUGACUUAACAACUACUACGACUUAUUUAGAUCGAACAACCCAAGUCAGAGAACAAAUCUACCUUAUCGUGGGGUAGUGGACAACAACAACAACAAUAAGUGGGAUAGGAACGACAAGACAAAAAAACAACCAUCUAUAAAACUCAUUUAAGUUCUGCUUUCUACAAGUUUCUUCGAGGUUCUGUAAGAAUAUAUCGUUCAAUACAUUAUUAUCGACCCAAUAGACCCUUAAAUUACAUAGAAGAAAGACAAACACUUACUUUAUCAUUAAUACAUACACUUUAUUACAUAGAAGAGAGACAAACACUUAAAGUACAUACAAAGUCUUAAUGUUAAAGACAAAGUAUACUUUAUCAUUAAUACAUACACUAAACUUUUGCACACGUUACCUUUGUACUGAGUACGCUGGG
This 2430-nucleotide ribosomal RNA is filed under the name Triticum aestivum (bread wheat). Its description in RNAcentral is "partial small subunit ribosomal RNA". Lineage: Eukaryota; Viridiplantae; Streptophyta; Magnoliopsida; Poales; Poaceae. The record is from RNAcentral.